ACCAGACUCCUACGGGAGGCAGCAGUGGGGGAUAUUGCACAAUGGGGGGAACCCUGAUGCAGCGACGCCGCGUGGGUGAAGAAGCGCCUCGGCGCGUAAAGCCCUGUCAGCAGGGAAGAAAAUGACGGUACCUGAAGAAGAAGCCCCGGCUAACUACGUGCCAGCAGCCGCGGUAAUACGUAGGGGGCAAGCGUUAUCCGGAUUUACUGGGUGUAAAGGGGGCGCAGACGGCGAUGCAAGCCAGGAGUGAAAGCCCGGGGCCCAACCCCAGGACUGCUCUUGGAACUGCGUGGCUGGAGUGCAGGAGGGGCAGGCGGAAUUCCUAGUGUAGCGGUGAAAUGCGUAGAUAUUAGGAGGAACACCAGUGGCGAAGGCGGCCUGUUGGACGAUGACUGACGUUGAGGCUCGAAAGCGUGGGGAGCAAACAGGAUUAGAUACCCUAGUAAC
This 447-nucleotide ribosomal RNA is filed under the name uncultured bacterium. Its description in RNAcentral is "bacterial SSU rRNA". It matches the Rfam family "Bacterial small subunit ribosomal RNA", at positions 330 to 794 of the family's 1533-position model. The record is from RNAcentral.